GAUGAACGCUGGCGGCGUGCCUAAUACAUGCAAGUCGAGCGAACAGAUGAGGAGCUUGCUCCUCUGACGUUAGCGGCGGACGGGUGAGUAACACGUGGAUAACCUACCUAUAAGCCUGGGAUAACUUCGGGAACCCGGAGCUAAUACCGGAUAAUAUAUUGAACCGAAUGGUUAAAUAGUGAAAGACGGUUUUGCUGUCCCUUAUAGAUGGAUCCGCGCCGCAUUAGCUAGUUGGUAAGGUAACGGCUUACCAAGGCAACGAUGCGUAGCCGACCUGAGAGGGUGAUCGGCCACACUGGAACUGAGACACGGUCCAGACUCCUACGGGAGGCAGCAGUAGGGAAUCUUCCGCAAUGGGCGAAAGCUUGACGGAGCAACGCCGCGUGAGUGAUGAAGGUCUUCGGAUCGUAAAACUCUGUUAUUAGGGAAGAACAAAUGUGUAAGUAACUAUGCACGUCUUGACGGUACCUAAUCAGAAAGCCACGGCUAACUACGUG
Molecule: ribosomal RNA, 497 nt
Filed under: uncultured bacterium
Lineage: Bacteria
Description: partial 16S ribosomal RNA
Rfam family: Bacterial small subunit ribosomal RNA
Source: RNAcentral